GUGAACGCCCUCACGGGCUUACCACUAUUCCAAACCUCUGUGAACCGUGCCCUUCGGGGCUAUUUUACCAAACAUGGUGUAAUGAACGUCAUAUAUCAUAACAAAACA
Molecule: unclassified non-coding RNA, 108 nt
Filed under: soil metagenome
Description: partial internal transcribed spacer 1
Source: RNAcentral